GUAGGGGGUGUAGGGUGGCGGCGCUCCGCCUUUCACCGACGCAGCUGGGAGAAACAGACCGGAAGACGCGGGUGGCGCGGAGCACGAGAAACAACGAGUUUCUGUCUAGAUCGUGGGAGACCCAAGCCCGGGGUUCCGUCCAAGGUCGGGGAUGGAGAGGACGCGACCCCCGCGGCAGUCGAGAUGGCCUUUUUAAAAUUCUAUAUUUGAGAAGGAGUCUCGCGCUGUCGCCCAGGCUGGAGCGCAAUGGCGCGAAAUCGGCUCAUUGCAGCCUCGACGUCCGGGACUCGAGCGAUCCUCCCGCCUCAGCCUCUCGAGAAGGAGUGGCCAGAAGGCUCCUCUCCAGGCCUCACAGGGGGAAACACUGGUCUAGUGAGAGACCUGGGUCCUGCCCAUCAGGACCAAAGCGGCACGUGCGAGGAUCCUGCAGGCCAAGAGACAAUAGCGAUUACAAACCCCAGCCCCAGCCUUGCAGCUGACCUUGCAGGUGACGCCCUGCCUGGGUGUCUCGGUGCAGCUGCACAUCAGGGGCCUCUGCUGGACAGAAGCUCUGAGUCCACACUCAGCCCCCAGGCGCUGGAGCUGGAGCACUGCCACGAGAGGGGAUGCUGCCGUGGCUGCGCCAGCUUCAGCCCUUUCCCUGCACCGAGAUGUCCCAGUGAGCGGCUGGGUGCUCACAGUUCCCGUUGGGCCAUCAGAGGAAGAUCAAAGAUCAACCCUCCCCCAUGGGCUCUUGCCUGCCUGCCAGGUUUUCCUGUCUCCUGGAGGACAAGGAUGAGGGCUUUCCACUUGAGUCUCCCUGGUGGAGCCCAGCUCCUGACAUACCUGGUGAAAGUUCUCAAGAAAAGAACAUGGAGGAGGAAUGUGGAUAACAACCCUGGCUGCCUGUGUGUUCCGAGCUAGGAAGAUGUAAUGUCCCCACAAACGGGGUAAAUGGCUUGCCUGCGUCACAGCUGUCUCAAGCCCAGGCCCUGGGCACCAGCCCAAGCCCAAGGACUAGGUCCAGAGCCACACAGCGCCAGGCCACAUCCGCCUCACCUGGGACCCUUUGUGGGGUACAGUCUCCGGCCCCACCCAGACCUGCUGAAUGAGAGACCCCAUGGCAAGGACUCAGCCACCUGCAGUUUCACAAGCCCCCAGUGGGUUCCUAGGCAUGAAGACCACCGGAUAGAGGCUGAACUGGCAGGAACCUGUCUUCAGCCCCUCCUCACCCCAGCCGGGCCCUGCCUCAGAGGCAGCACCCAGGACGUGGCCAUGACCCGUGGACUCCACUCAAUCCCUCUUCUCCAGGAGCCAUGCAAAGUGUCAGCCAGCCAGGCCCCUGGAAAGCAGUCGUCACCUCUUAAGGCAUUGCGGGUGUCGGUCCUGCAACUGCCAGGUGCAGCACACGACCCAUGUCCGGUGUUCGAUAGCAGGGAGCCAUGACCUGGCAACGAUUCCACGCUCAAAGGGGCACCCAGGGGGCCCUGGGUCGGGGCGGAUCAGCUUUCCCGGGCACAUCUGCCUCAUUCCAGAUCUCCAGGACUCAUGUCUGUGACAGGGAGGGAAGGCUCUGCCCUGGCCUUCCGUCAGCUCUGCCAGUGCAGGCUGGGCAGCCUGGGCUUUAGAGCUGGCUUCUGCCCGCACUUUCUCCGUGAAAGGAAAACAACGCUGAGGCUGCCAAACGCAUCUCAGAUGCGUUUUAAAAAAUUCUGGUCCCCUCUCUCUGUCCCAUCAUCUGCCUCGGGGACUUCCUCUCUCCGUGGUUCUCACCCCAUACUCUGUCACUGCCACAUUUUCACCUGGGCCUGGCCUUUGUCUCCACCUGAAACUCCUGAAAAUCUUGAAAUGGAUUUCUAGGUCACUGGGGACUCCGGCAGCACAUUCGGCUUCAGAAAAAAGGGCGCCCGCGGUCCCCCAGCACCUGCCCAAGCCACACCCCUAGCUUCCCUCCCUAUCCCUGCAGCCUGAGGGUCCCUUCAGCCACCCCUAAGUCCCCACCUGGGCUCCUGCCCCGCCCCUGGCUAGCAGCGCCUUCUCCACCGGGGCCCCUCUGCUCACAGAGCCCCCUCACCUCCCUGCGGAUGAGGGGCCAGGCCAUGACCCUGAAAGCCUAGCCCUGGCCUUGACCUCCCAGGAGCGCCCUCCCCGCCCUCUCCCGGCCCCAUCCUCUGCUGCUGGCCUCUGGGUCGUGCCCCGCAGACUGAGCUGCGCUUGGGGGUCCUGGCGGCCUGGGCCGUCCCGCACCGAACCCAGGCGGUCGGAGCCCGGCGGGGAGGCGCGAGGUCCUUCUGGGGGCUCCUCCGACGCCUUCUCGAGUCGCCUGAGGG
RNAcentral lists this long non-coding RNA (2309 nucleotides) under Pan troglodytes (chimpanzee). RNAcentral describes it as "lincRNA". The record is from RNAcentral. Lineage: Eukaryota; Metazoa; Chordata; Mammalia; Primates; Hominidae.